CCACCUGGAAGGCAGAUGUGAGGUGUGGAGCUUCAGUAACCUUGCUGGACCAUGAGAUGGCCUUGGGAUGGAAGCCACACACCUUGUGUGGCAGAGCAGAAAGAAAGAAGGAGCCUAGGCUGCUGAGGACUCUCUGAACUGUCUGUCUCUGGACUUGUUUUACAAAAUGAAUGAAGACACAUGUGCUCUGACAGGAGUUGGCUUAUGUCUGGGAGUUUGUUUACUCAUCCUGAAAAUGAAGGCAAAGUUUAUUUUGACUCCUUCCUGCAGCAUGAGAGCUCUGCUUACAAGAGUGGGAUGGCAACACAGGAAGAAGAUAGCAGCAAGACAGCCAUGCGCCAGGAGGCAGAUGGCAGAAGAGACUUUCAGAGCAGCCAGAAAAUGGAGAGCUGGAUCCACACUCAGGCGUUCUGGCCCCAUAUUGGGGGGCUCUUUUGUGCUCUGCCAUGGUGGGUAGAAAGAGCAGCAAAAGUCAUUGGUGACACCUUCCAGAAAUGGGAUGUUUGAAAAAAAAUCUUCAUAAGACUGAGAAAUUUUGUCUUUCAUAGUACACAGAUUGAGUGGAGUCUACAGAGACUUGGAAAAUGUUGUCAAAAAUGCUGGGUCAGAAUGCAAAUUAUGUGAUCAGACCAAGCAAGCAGAGGGAGAUGCAGCAUCACCAGCUUUUCUCACCAUUUCUGAAAAAUGAGAACUGUGUGAAGACAAGUAGCUCACGUCAGAAACUGACAAUGGCCAAUUCUUUUUCUUACUGGGAGAGAAUACUCUGGAACUCUUCCUACAGGAAAGGCCAUUAGGUAUAGACCUAGUUCCAAACAAACGUUAGUAAGGUGGAGUGGUGUAGUUUGGAAAUGUGAAGAAAAAAGAGAUAAGAGUCAAUCCUGGCCACAGGAAAAGCUUGGGUGAUGGUCCAUAUUCAUCUCUGUUCUCAAAAACUGACUGAGAAGUAAUUGGUGGAGAAGGCGCCAACCACAGUCCCUGUCAGAGUUAGAUUGCCACCCUGAAGCAUGCUGGGAAAUUUUCACAGGGCAUCUCAUCAUUGCCAAUUCCUUUUACUUAGGAAGGUUCAGGAAGUUCAGGUAAGACAAGUGCUCUGCUCUCUUCUUAGUUCAAGAACAUGAUCCAAAGAUGAAAUGAAAUCUGGAAAUGUCAACGACAGUCACUCAACCUGCCAAACCUACUUCCUCGCCUACAACUUCUAGAAAGGGCCAUCCUACCCUUGGCCUCUAACCAAGUCAGAAACCAAUUAAAUUACUCUUUAAGGAUUCUGAACUCAGAGACAUUGAUGAAUUUGCCAAUAUGGUUGAGGAACAUAAGGAAACAGAUAUGUGGAGCAUAAACUGAGGCACCAGGCACCAGGUGCUGCAAACCAGCUGCCCACAGGACAUAUCUGAUACACAACAUGUUUCGCUUGGCCUGCAGGGUUUUAAAUUUGAAAUGAUUGCCAACACUUAAAAACCAGACUAUUUCACAUUUUAAAAUGAGUGGUCUUCCAAAGCAAGCUGCAUGGAAAGUGUGGCUGUUUAAGAAUGAACAUGCUGAUAACAUAGAUGCAAGACUUGAGAUGCAUUUGGGACUUUUCAGACUUUUAGGACAUGCAUUCAAAAAUCACUGGAGCUCAUGUGCACACAUGUUCCCACGAGUGUCCAUCCAGGAGCACCAAUGGGCAUGCUGCAGAGUCACCUGCUGCCUGCGGGGUUCGGCUCAGAAUACUUGAACAACUUUCAACAAACUUACAGGAGACAAGAUGAAUGAAGAAUUCUGUUUUCUAUACAUGGCCCAGAGUCCCUACCACUCCCUUUUGCUCCCCAGGCCCUGAGGCUGAGUGGCACAAGUGAUUUUCUGUUUUAGACCCACUGUUUCAUCUCGGUGAACCCCCACAGGCAUUGGAGCCUGAGAACCCUGCACUCACUGAAGGAGCUCCACUCUGGCUGUGGAGGGCUUCUAAGGGGCCCCAGGUCCUGCUCUGACUGAGGUUGGGUUCGUUAGCAAUUCCUGAAUUCCCAGGACUUUUUCACACCUAGAGUGAGCACUCUCCCUUCUCCCUGCUGCCCCCACACAGUGCACAUUAUUUGAGCAAAUUUGAGUGGGUUUCAGACCUGGCUGCCAAAGGAUCUCUCACUAAAACUACUGAGAAUUAACCCAGCAAGGGAAAGAUGCCGUGGGGAAGCCAACUUGACUGAGUGGCAUGUCAUUUCCAUGACAUCACCUGGAGCCAUUGGCCCCUUUAAAAAGGCUCUCCAUGCACUAUCUGGCGGCCUCAGAACCCUGUUGAUGUGGACUCUUGCAGGCGUCUUCCCACCCACAGCAUCUGGGCAUAGCUAACUAUAUCAUAGAAGACGUCAAGCUAUAAAUGACUCCACUUUUUUUUGCCCCCACAUUCUUGUUCAAGUUGU
Molecule: long non-coding RNA, 2393 nt
Filed under: Equus asinus (donkey)
Lineage: Eukaryota; Metazoa; Chordata; Mammalia; Perissodactyla; Equidae
Description: lncRNA (ENSEASG00005024100.1)
Source: RNAcentral